Molecule: RNA transcript, 1306 nt
Organism: Mus musculus (house mouse)
Lineage: Eukaryota; Metazoa; Chordata; Mammalia; Rodentia; Muridae
Gene name: predicted gene 11978
Exons: 6
Source: RefSeq, marked provisional
AGCUCAUCCCUUGCAGAGCUCAGACCCCACCUUGGCCAGACUGCGUGUGACAGUACAUGUUUCAUCUCUGACUCCCGGGCUGGCCAGACUCACUGUAGCCAGGUCUGUGAGAAGGCUGAACCUGACCGGCCACUAAGAAGCCUGGUCCCAUGGACCGCAUCCCAAGUCAUCAACACUGAGGAAGACACUACAAACAGGUCCAACUUCAUCUUACAGCCAAGGAGGCUGAACCAGGAGACAGCAACAACAGUGGAAGAAGGUGCAGCCGCUGUGCUGGGGUCUUCAUGGCCAACUAAGAUGCAGCCGGCUUGCAGCAACAGCGACAUUCGGAGGAAUAGUGUCACGCAGCAGGCCUGAACAGCACAAUGCAGGCACGGAGCUGUUCCUUCAGGCCCAGAUUUUCCAUCUCCUGAAAAAGCAAAUGCAAGGUCCAGGAAGUACCAAGCAAGCUCUCUACCGUUGAGUUACAACCCUGAAUCUGAAAUUUCAAGUUUUAACCAAACAUCACCUAAUUCAUUACACCUGAAAGACUACCUUUCUUUCUCUUUUUGUUGAAAAAGUAGGGCAGUUUGUCUUCCCUGAACGCUGAGACUUCAAGCAUCUAAGACUCCAAGAUGUCGUGUGGAAGCAGAAGUCACACUUCCUGGGUGACUACUCCAGCCAGCUCAGCCGGGCCCCUCAGAUGAGGGACGCUCCCAGAAGGGCACCUGCAGCUCAGCCUCCAGCAGCAGCUGCAGCUGCGCCAUCUCCAGUUGGCUCACCUGCCACUGUGCCCCAGCAGCCAGGCCUGAUGGCCCAGAUGGCCUCCACUGCAGCCGGUGUGGCUGUGGGCUCUGCACACCCUGGGUCAUGCCAUCACUGGGGGCUUCAGGGGAGGCUGUAAUGCUAAACCUGCAAAGCCCGACAUCACUUAUCAGGAGCCUCAGGGAGCCCAGCGGCAGGACUAGAAGUCUUUUGGACCUUACUCUCUAGAGAUCAAGCAGUUUCUGGAGUGUUCUCAGAACCAGAGCGAUGUCAGGCUCUGGGAGGGCUUCAUCGAGGUGCUUGCGACAGGGCAGAGUUGCAAAUGGUUUACUCUAACCAAGAAUUUCAAGCUGAAGAGAUGUAAAAUUGGUUCUGUGUAAUUGAUAGUACAAAUGUGGACCCUUAUUUCUAACAGCUCCCGUGCUUUGGAAUGGCCAUGAAAGAGAUCUAACUAUAGAUGUUUACUGAGGCUUGUGGUGUUUGGCCUCCUUGAAGUAACUGUAUUAUGACUGUGAGUUAAAAAUAAUAAUAAUAAUAAAAUAAAAAAAUCAACAACAACAAC